GAUGAACGCUGGCGGCGUGCCUAAUACAUGCAAGUCGAGCGAACGGACGAGAAGCUUGCUUCUCUGAUGUUAGCGGCGGACGGGUGAGUAAAACGUGGAUAACCUACCUAUAAGACUGGGAUAACUUCGGGAAACCGGAGCUAAUACCGGAUGAUAUUUUGAACCGCAUGGUUCAAAAGUGAAAGACGGUCUUGCUGUCACUUAUAGAUGGAUCCGCGCUGCAUUAGCUAGUUGGUAAGGUAACGGCUUACCAAGGCAACGAUGCAUAGCCGACCUGAGAGGGUGAUCGGCCACACUGGAACUGAGACACGGUCCAGACUCCUACGGGAGGCAGCAGUAGGGAAUCUUCCGCAAUGGGCGAAAGCCUGACGGAGCAACGCCGCGUGAGUGAUGAAGGUCUUCGGAUCGUAAAACUCUGUUAUUAGGGAAGGACAUAUGUGUAAGUAACUGUGCACAUCUUGACGGUACCUAAUCAGAAAGCCACGGCUAACUACGUG
RNAcentral lists this ribosomal RNA (497 nucleotides) under uncultured bacterium. RNAcentral describes it as "partial 16S ribosomal RNA". It matches the Rfam family "Bacterial small subunit ribosomal RNA", at positions 28 to 507 of the family's 1533-position model. The record is from RNAcentral.